AGUCCGGUAGCCUAGUAAUCAGAGCGUCCGCCUUGGAUGCGGGAGGUCGCGGGUUCGAACCCCACCGGGUCAU
Potamilus streckersoni is the source of this 73-nucleotide non-coding RNA. Lineage: Eukaryota; Metazoa; Mollusca; Bivalvia; Unionida; Unionidae. The record is from the annotation of a GenBank genome assembly.